GAUGAAGAACGUAGCGAAAUGCGAUAAGUAAUGUGAAUUGCAGAAUUCAGUGAAUCAUCGAAUCUUUGAACGCACAUUGCGCCCGCCAGCAUUCUGGCGGGCAUGCCUGUUCGAGCGUCAUUUCAACCCUCGAGCCCCCCCGGGGGCCUCGGUGUUGGGGGACGGCACACCAGCCGCCCCCGAAAUGCAGUGGCGACCCCGCCGCAGCCUCCCCUGCGUAGUAGCACACACCUCGCACCGGAGCGCGGAGGCGGUCACGCCGUAAAACGCCCAACUUUCUUAGAGUUGACCUCGGAUCAGGAAGGAAUACCCGCUGAACUUAAGCAUAUCAAUAAGCGGAGGA
Molecule: unclassified non-coding RNA, 343 nt
Filed under: soil metagenome
Description: partial contains 5.8S ribosomal RNA, internal transcribed spacer 2, and large subunit ribosomal RNA
Rfam family: 5.8S ribosomal RNA (bases 1-120)
Source: RNAcentral